RNAcentral lists this ribosomal RNA (1053 nucleotides) under Triticum aestivum (bread wheat). RNAcentral's name for it is "partial small subunit ribosomal RNA". The record is from RNAcentral. Lineage: Eukaryota; Viridiplantae; Streptophyta; Magnoliopsida; Poales; Poaceae.
AUGGCGCCGAUUCACAGCUCACGCCGCCUCGACGGCACACUGCUUGCACUUCUGCUCGUGCUCGUGGCCGCCACCGCCUUUGUCAGCGCUGCCGCGGCGCGAGGGGACGCGCUGGCCGCCCGGCAUGAGCGGUGGAUGGCCAAGUACGGGCGCGUGUACACGGACGCUGCCGAGAAAUUGCGCCGGCAGGAGGUGUUCGCGGCCAACGCGCGGCACAUAGAUGCUGUCAACAGGGCAGGCAAUCGGACGUACACUCUCGGGCUCAACCAGUUCUCCGACCUCACCAACGAAGAGUUCGUGGAGAAGCAGCUCGGGUACCGUCACCGGCGCGGCGAGGAAAGCACGCCGGUGGCCGCUGUGAACAUGUCCAUGGCUCAGUUCCAGUCCACGCCGGACAGCGUGGAUUGGAGGGCCCAGGGCGCCGUCACCCAAAUCAAGGACCAAGGCGCCAACUGCGGUUGCUGCUGGGCGUUCGCGGCGGUGGCGGCGACGGAGGGGCUCGUAAAGAUCGCCACCGGCAACCUCAUCUCCAUGUCAGAGCAGCAGGUGCUCGACUGCACCGGCGGCCCCAGCACCUGCCAGAGCGGCUACAUCAACGACGCCUUAAGCUACAUCGCCAAGAGCGGCGGCCUGCAGCAGGAGGCAGCCUACGCGUAUAUCGGCCAGCAGGGCGCGUGCCGCGGCGGCGACGUCAGCCCAAAUUCAGCCGCCGCCGUCGGCGCACCCCAGUUGGUGAGCCUGAACGGCGACGAGGGCGCGUUGCAGGAGCUCGUGGCCAGCCAACCGGUGGCCGUGAGCGUGGAGGCCGACCUUGACUUCCACCACUACAUGAGCGGCGUGUACACCGGCAGCUCGUCGUGCGGGCAGAACCUGAACCACUUCGUGACGGUGGUGGGCUACGGGACGGACGGCGGCGGGCAGGAGUAUUGGUUGGUGAAGAACCAGUGGGGGACGACGUGGGGCGAGGGGGGCUACAUGCGCCUCACCCGCGGGAACGGCGGCAACUGCGGCAUGGCCACCUACGCCUACUACCCGACCAUGGACAACUCUUAA